GACGAACGCUGGCGGCGUGCCUAACACAUGCAAGUCGAACGGGGCACCUUCGGGUGCUUAGUGGCGAACGGGUGAGUAACGCGUGAGAAACCUGCCUUUCAGUGGGGGACAACAGUUGGAAACGACUGCUAAUACCGCAUAAUGUUAUUUGAGGGCAUCCUCGAAUAACCAAAGCUUAAUGUGCUGAAAGAUGGUCCCGCGUCUGAUUAGCCAGUUGGCGGGGUAACGGCCCACCAAAGCGACGAUCAGUAGCCGGCCUGGGAGGGCGGACGGCCACAUUGGGACUGAGACACGGCCCAG
This 300-nucleotide ribosomal RNA is filed under the name uncultured bacterium. Its description in RNAcentral is "bacterial SSU rRNA". It matches the Rfam family "Bacterial small subunit ribosomal RNA", at positions 28 to 334 of the family's 1533-position model. The record is from RNAcentral.